RNAcentral lists this ribosomal RNA (466 nucleotides) under uncultured bacterium. RNAcentral's name for it is "partial 16S ribosomal RNA". It matches the Rfam family "Bacterial small subunit ribosomal RNA", at positions 28 to 508 of the family's 1533-position model. The record is from RNAcentral.
GACGAACGCUGGCGGCGUGCUUAACACAUGCAAGUCGAACGGAAAGGCCCCUUUGGGGGUCCUCGAGUGGCGAACGGGUGAGUAACACGUGAGUAACCUGCCCUUGACUUCGGGAUAACUUCAGGAAACUGGGGCUAAUACCGGAUAGGAAUCCUUGCUGCAUGGUGGGGGUUGGAAAGCUUCGGCGGUUUUGGAUGGACUCGCGGCUUAUCAGCUUGUUGGUGGGGUAGUGGCUUACCAAGGCUUUGACGGGUAGCCGGCCUGAGAGGGCGACCGGCCACAUUGGGACUGAGAUACGGCCCAGACUCCUACGGGAGGCAGCAGUGGGGAAUAUUGCACAAUGGGCGGAAGCCUGAUGCAGCAACGCCGCGUGCGGGAUGACGGCCUUCGGGUUGUAAACCGCUUUCAGCAGGGGCGAAGCUUGUGGUGACGGUACCUGCAGAAGAAGCACCGGCUAACUACGUGC